This is a non-coding RNA of Paramuricea clavata, 497 nucleotides long. The record is from the annotation of a GenBank genome assembly. NCBI's taxonomy places the organism in Eukaryota, Metazoa, Cnidaria, Anthozoa, Malacalcyonacea, Plexauridae.
UUCAUAAAUUUCCUGAAUUAAAAGUUUAACGGAGCAUCAAUACCGCGCCUUGUCCAAUUUGAUUCACAUUAAAGAUGUAUUUGCAUCUUGCUAUCGGUUAUGGGAAGAGUUUAAUACUCCAAAGUUCUAGCACCGAGAGUAGCACGACGACUUGGCAAAAGCCACAAUUUUCUGGAGAAACCCAUCUUAAUAGUCAUUUGCAAAUUGAACUCUUUCAUUGAUUCUCACGUCCGUGAACUAAGAAAGCGUGGAUGACUUCACUGUCAAACGAAGAAGACGAGAAAGCAAUACUAGAUGGAGAGUUUACAUUCGUAUUUUGUAAUCCCGAGUCUAUUAUUCGAAAUGCGAAAUGUAGAGAAAUGGUUUCAUUUGAAAUACACAAGACAAAUUUGCUUGCUUUUGUAUUAACAGACAAAGUUCACGUCGGCCCAUAGAGGUGUGUUUAAUAAAUUUAAAUACAGAUUUUUUUUAAUGUAUAUUGCAGGAUUAAAUUGAAC